This 21-nucleotide microRNA is filed under the name Arabidopsis thaliana (thale cress). Its description in RNAcentral is "ath-miR5666". Lineage: Eukaryota; Viridiplantae; Streptophyta; Magnoliopsida; Brassicales; Brassicaceae. The record is from miRBase by way of RNAcentral.
AUGGGACAUCGAGCAUUUAAU